Molecule: small nucleolar RNA, 138 nt
Filed under: Ornithorhynchus anatinus (platypus)
Lineage: Eukaryota; Metazoa; Chordata; Mammalia; Monotremata; Ornithorhynchidae
Source: RNAcentral
UCCCUUUCGGGGUCGCACCUGGAGAGUUUCCAGUCCUCUACCAGUCACGACUACAGGAGGGAGAGUCAAGCAGAGACCCGUCCCUUCCAUUCCUAGCUUGACCAGUGGCUAGCGAGUGGAAGGCCAUCUGCUACAAGU